This 253-nucleotide ribosomal RNA is filed under the name uncultured bacterium. RNAcentral's name for it is "partial 16S ribosomal RNA". It matches the Rfam family "Bacterial small subunit ribosomal RNA", at positions 524 to 776 of the family's 1533-position model. The record is from RNAcentral.
UACGUAGGGUGCGAGCGUUGUCCGGAAUUAUUGGGCGUAAAGAGCUCGUAGGCGGUUUGUCGCGUCGGCCGUGAAAACUUGGGGCUUAACUCCAAGCUUGCGGUCGAUACGGGCAGACUUGAGUUCGGCAGGGGAGACUGGAAUUCCAGGUGUAGCGGUGAAAUGCGUAGAUAUCUGGAGGAACACCGGUGGCGAAGGCGGCAUCCUGGACCGAGAUUGACGCUGAGGCGCGAAAGCGAGGGGAGCAAACGGG